AACAUUUUACGCAAUCCUUUGCUCGGGAGAGGAGGGGAGCUUAUUUGAUAUUUCAACCUUACAGCGCUCACUCGUGCUGCGACUCUUGCCGGGCGCGCGCUUGGUUACGUCAACACACAAACGGCACACGCUCUCCUCGCGUGCGACACCGACUUGUUUUCGGUUUUCUUUGUGCCGUUGAGGGGAGGCGAACUACUCCUUCUCUCUCCCCUCACUGGCCUCCAGGGGAAGGUUGCUGCUCCUCUGACGGCGCCCUCCCCCUCUACCCCUCCCUCCCACAACGUCUCUUUCGCGUUUGCACCGUCCUCUGUGCCGGGGCUUGGGUGGCCGUUUCGUUCCUUGUCCGCGAUCUCUGCAUUUCCCCUCAUCUGUUUUCACCCUCUUUGUCGUAGGUUUUUUUUCGUUGUUGUUGCUAUUUUCGCGCUGCAUCCGCCUCCGUCUCGCAGUAGCGUCCCCUCCGGCCCGUUCCUUGCUCUCGACUGCGUUUGAGCCUUUGUGUGUCUUCCACCCCUUCUCCUUCUCUUUUUUUUUUCGCUUUUCUUCGCGUCGCUUCUCUCUCGGUCCCAUCCCCUAUCUCACUGCCACGACCGCCGCACACCGUCUAGCCAGACGGCACGAGGGAUAUCAUAGUAAAGCGUUUCUACCGAUUCAUUCCCUUUUUCUCUCUCGCUCCUGUUUUGUGUCUGUGACGGCAGGGCGCAGGGCUUCGUUGCGCGCGCUACGGACGUGUGCGCUGCUGUUAGUGAUUACUUCUCCUUUUUGCUGGUGCCGUGCAGACCGUGACAACGCAGUGCCCCUCGGGACGUCGGGCACCUUUUUUUUUUUUCGGGUCAUUUUUGUGUUGUUGUUUGUUGUGUUCUGCCGCGGUUUACGUGUUGUGGAUUAGCGCUCCUUACUGCAUGUCUGCUUUAGUCUCGUGUAGCAAUUAAAUGGCGGCCGCUGCGCAGCUCACGAAGGCGACGGCGCUAAAGAAGAACACCGUCGACUACAUCCCCAGCAAACUGGCGUACGACACAGCUAUUCCUGUUACGAUUCUCGAAGAUCGCAGCGACUUCAUCGAAAAGUGCAAACCCUACGACAUCAUUGAUGGACCGAAUCCCCUCGAUGAGCCAGAGGCGACGGAUGCUACGCGGCCGCAGGCGCAGUCUGCCCUUGUGUCGCCACCGCCAGAGGUGAAGACGGUGGAGCGCUCGUCAGGGCGCGCCAACCGCAAAAGCCACCAGUCGACAUUGAAGGCCGAAAAGCCCCACCCCGUCAAGCGAGAGAGAGACACCGAGGAAGGGCGGGACGGAGCUGUGGUUGUAUUCACUCGACCGUCACGACACGGAUGGGCAGCGGAGCGUCUUGCGCAGCAUCGACCGUAUCAGUUGGUGCGGUCGCAUGAUAUGGAGACGUGUGUGCGGUAUGUUCUGGAUGAUGUCGACUACGAUUGGUGCGAGCGUCAAAACGUCGCACCGGAGAGCCUCCAGCGCGGCGUGACUUACCUCGAGUGGGCGUACGCUUCCUCGCUCCUUAGGGCAGCGACGCCGCGUGUUGCCACUCCCGAAGACUCAGGCACCGCCGCCGCUGACUCUGUUGUCCCCGGAUACGGUGAGGGGCGCCACUCGUUGAGUACACAGUCUUCGUCUCCCACUGGUGCCGCCGCGGCAGGCAGCGGACGGCAUACGACCUCGGGACGGCAGAACGGCAAGGACAAGGCUAGUGCUGGGGACGCUGCAGUGCGCUUGUGCGCCCUGUGCUCCAAGCCGGUGCAACUGCUGACGUCGCAGUCGCGGUCCGGUGCACUGGAACGUGGUACAGGCGGUGUCAACACUCUCCAGAAAAGAGGAGGCGGGGCAACGCACUUGGCUGGUGCGCUCUCGUCAUCACCGACUGCACGAGGCGGCGCGUGGGUCGGCGGCGGUCAUGCGCGGGGCACAUCUGCCCCGCAACCGUCAGGUCUCGUGCUGCCCACCAAGAGGGCAUUCGGUGAUGUGUCCGCAGGGAUCGCGUCCCCGUCGCACGACCUUCAGAGCAGAGGACUCCGGUGCAGCGACUGCGGUGUUGUCGCGCAUCUGCGCUGCUGGUUCUUCUCAGAACCGCCGAAGCUACCGGAGGCAUGGAUAUGCGACGGCUGCACCAUUUACGCCCAUCACCGCAAACGAAGCGCAGGCAUGUGCUGCAUAUGCGGCCGCGCCGGUGGGGUGCUUCUGCCCUAUGUCCCUUCGGCACUAAGGGACGACAGCGACGCUGUCAAGCCUGGUUCCAUGCAGACGCCCGCUUUCCACGGCCGCUCGUCGUCGGCGGCUGCGCUGUUUGACACGGUCUGCCAUGCGGUGUGUGCCUUGAGCAUGCCGGAGCUGGCUGUACAUCCCCAGGUCACCGUUCUGCGACGCAACGGACUCGUCGAUAUGCAGAUGCGCCCGUACGUCUACCCGCUUCGCCGUGUCGGCAAGCACAAGUGCGCCAUGAAUUGCCGGUUUUGCCAGCAUUUAGGUGGCCGAUGUGUCCAGUGUUCACACCCACACUGCUUUGAGGCGAUGCACGCGUCCUGCGCAGCCGAAGCGCACACCGUGGAUUGCCAAGCUGAGCUGCCCAUUCUUCCUGCGACUGCCAGCCCACGCCGCACGAGCGCCGGUGCGCGAGGUGGCGCAUCAACUUUAGACGCCACCACCCAACCGAUUUCGCUUGGCUGUUCACUGAGCAGCUCCCUGAUGGGCACUACCAACUGGACCAGGUGUUCUCCCUACUGUAGGAAGCACUACGGCUACUCCGUCGGCAACUCCGUCGGGUCUGCUGAGUUAGGCCACAAGGCGGAGGCGGAGGCGCUGGCGCUGGACUUGACCGGGCUGCUCACUGGCGGCGAUGGAGUCACGUCGCCUGUGGUGCGCAAGCGUGGCCGCGGACGGCCGCCGGCGGCGCUGGUGAAGCAGCGAGAAGCAGAACGCGACCUCAUUUUGAAGCUUCGCGCCUACUGGCUUGAACGCCGCGAGCAGCGCCGCGAGACAUCGGCGCUGCUCGCCAGCGAAAUCAACGCGCGCGUGCGGCCGAUCGGCGAGGCAUCGAUGCGGCCGGAGAUAGUCAAGAUUUCGGCGGAGAAAGUGCGACUUUCGCACUUCCUGAGUCUCGUGCCGGAGUGGCAGUGGCAGCUCGUCUCCAUCGUCGAAGGCGAGCUGCCGCUGCCGGACGAGGAGUACGACGACGUGCAAAAGUUCCGUAAAGCGGCCCACACGCGUCGGUCCGGCAACACGCGCAGUUUGUACGACAAGAUGUGCGAAAGCGCCGUGCAGCUUGGCCUCUUGUGCCGAGCGGCAGAGGCGAUCAAGGAGCAGUGCAGACUGCGGCGCGCGAGCGUCGAGCAGGAGCUGGCGGCGCUCCGCAUUCUCAGUGGGUGGCGGUAGGGAGGGGGUGGGGAGGCAGUGAUGGCUUCGCAGAAGAGCGCUAACAGACCUGGGGAGCAGUAAGCUGUGGCGCCUCGCUUACAGCUACGCGCGCAAACCGCUGGCCAUGAAAGAUCGGCAGCCCAACACCACAUCGGCAAUACUCCAGGGCAGCGGCUCACGCUUUUCCUUUCGGUAUGGCGCAUCAAAGUAAGCCUCCGUGGUGCACACGUGCUUUCUUUUGCUUGUUCGUUGAUUGUAGUUGUGCAUAUAUCCGUAUAUACAUGUAUAUAUGUUUGCUAGCGACAUAUUUUACAUCCCAGCGUCCACAGAGCCCAUGAACAAGGCAAGGAACACUGCACAUGCGAAAGGAAACGGCCGAAUUUCGGCCCGGUGGGAAGCGUCAGCAACGUGCGCGCGACGCUGGCGACCUGCUGCGGUCUUGUAUGGCGCAAAUAGGCGCUUUCCAGCACAAGAUGAUGUGGCCGAACGCAGGGGCUUAACGUUAGACGGUGUUCUGGAAAUAGUUGCUAAUUUUCUUAGUCAAGUAGCAAAUGAGCUCCUGUAAAGCUUCACGCAUCUCAUCCACUCCCCAGGGGCUCUGUGCAUGCACCGAGGACGGCUCUGAGCACCCCAAGCCUGCAUGGGCGCCCACUCACAUAUGUGCCCAAUGAAAAGACUCGCCUCCCUCUACGUUGAUGCUUUCUUUCUUUUUUUUUUUACUUCGUAG
Molecule: unclassified non-coding RNA, 4089 nt
Filed under: Leishmania donovani
Lineage: Eukaryota; Euglenozoa; Kinetoplastea; Trypanosomatida; Trypanosomatidae
Description: gene:LdHU3.36.6480(CDS-product:PHD-like_zinc-bind ing_domain_containing_protein_putative)
Source: RNAcentral